This 543-nucleotide unclassified non-coding RNA is filed under the name Hevea brasiliensis (rubber tree). The record is from RNAcentral. Lineage: Eukaryota; Viridiplantae; Streptophyta; Magnoliopsida; Malpighiales; Euphorbiaceae.
GGUUGGACUAAAUGCUUUCCAGAUGAUGUUCUCGCACAUGUUGGUAGCUAUAAAAAGUGAGAUACCGGAGCCCAGACCAUAUCCUUUCUGAAGGAGCUCAUCAAGGCAAAUAACAAUUAUGCCAGCAAACCACAGUUGAAUAAUUAUCAGCACUGCGUUUCCAACCCCAAGCUGACUAACACUGCCAUACAUGCCAGAGAGAACAUAUGCAACUGCUUCACCAAUAGCUAUGAGAAUCCCUAAUAACUUUUGUGCACCAUUCAGAAGUGCUCGGUCCUCCCGAACAUUGUUGUCAACUUCAAUGAUCUUUGACCCAGCUAAAAGUUGCAUAACCAAUCCAGAAGUCACAAUUGGAGUGAUUCCAAGUUCCAUGACAGUUCCACGGUUUGAAGCAAGGAUAACACGCAUCCAAUAGAACGGAUCGGCACCAGUUGUGGAGUGUAUGCCAUACAAAGGUAACUGACUGCAUACCAGGAAAAUAAAUAGAGAGAUCACAGUGUAUAAAACCUUCUCUCUGAAUGGAAUUUUUCGAUCAGCACUCUG